GACGAACGCUGGCGGCGUGCUUAACACAUGCAAGUCGAACGGAAAGGCCCCUUUGGGGGUACUCGAGUGGCGAACGGGUGAGUAACACGUGAGUAACCUGCCCUUGACUUCGGGAUAACUUCAGGAAAAUGGGGCUAAUACCGGAUAGGAAUCCUUGCUGCAUGGUGGGGGUUGGAAAGCUUCGGCGGUUUUGGAUGGACUCGCGGCUUAUCAGCUUGUUGGUGGGGUAGUGGCUUACCAAGGCUUUGACGGGUAGCCGGCCUGAGAGGGCGACCGGCCACAUUGGGACUGAGAUACGGCCCAGACUCCUACGGGAGGCAGCAGUGGGGAAUAUUGCACAAUGGGCGGAAGCCUGAUGCAGCAACGCCGCGGGCGGGAUGACGGCCUUCGGGUUGUAAACCGCUUUCAGCAGGGGCGAAGCUUGUGGUGACGGUACCUGCAGAAGAAGCACCGGCUAACUACGUG
RNAcentral lists this ribosomal RNA (465 nucleotides) under uncultured bacterium. RNAcentral's name for it is "partial 16S ribosomal RNA". It matches the Rfam family "Bacterial small subunit ribosomal RNA", at positions 28 to 507 of the family's 1533-position model. The record is from RNAcentral.